GUGCCAGCAGCCGCGGUAAUACAGAGGGGGCAAGCGUUAUUCGGAAUCAUUGGGCGUAAAGGGCGCGUAGGCGGCCGAGCAAGUCUUGGGUGAAAUCCCUCGGCUUAACCGAGGAACUGCCUUGGAAACUGCUUGGCUUGAGGCCGGGAGAGGGUGGUGGAAUUCCCAGUGUAGCGGUGAAAUGCGUAGAUACUGGGAGGAACACCAGUGGCGAAGGCGGCCACCUGGACCGGUCCUGACGCUGAGGCGCGAAAGCGUGGGGAGCAAACAGGAUUAGAAACCCCUGUAGUCC
Molecule: ribosomal RNA, 292 nt
Filed under: uncultured bacterium
Lineage: Bacteria
Description: partial 16S ribosomal RNA
Rfam family: Bacterial small subunit ribosomal RNA
Source: RNAcentral